Molecule: non-coding RNA, 228 nt
Organism: Cinara cedri
Lineage: Eukaryota; Metazoa; Arthropoda; Insecta; Hemiptera; Aphididae
Source: the annotation of a GenBank genome assembly
CCCAUAAUAUAAAAUUGGAUACAAUGUGAAAAUAGAACGAUUAUCGUUUAAUUUUGGUUUAAAAUAUACAUAAAAUAAAAAGAAAAGAAAAAAAGAAAAAAAAGAAGAGGAGGACGUCCGAUCAUUUUGGAAAUUGUACCACGUCUAGGUAAGUCUAAUAUAACUAUUAUUACUGAGUUUCAAGUCGCUACGUGUAUUUAUAACCGCGUUACAGUAAACAAACUCCCA